CUCUUCAUUUACUUUAUCUAUCUCUUACUUUAUCUGCAUUUUCUUAAUUAAUUUGUGUGUCCCAUUUUUUUAGUACAUUUCUUUACUCUGUGGCAAUUCUCAAGCUCUAAUUCAUUCAUUAUUGUUGAUUUACUGGUUGAACAUUGGUUUAUGGAGAGUUACUUAUUAUCACUACCACUUUUGGUGCUCAGAGAAAUUAUAACAUUUUACCUUUUGUUUAGAGGGUAUAUUAUGUUCCUUAGUAAGGUUUUAAUGAAGCUCGACUCAUUAUAAGAUUAUAUCAUCUUUUCAAUUAUUUGUUUUUUCUCAAGGUGCAGUCUUGUUGUUGCAUUUCUCAGGUGUUCCUCCUGUCAUACCAGACGGUGAACUGAGGCUCUGAAUCAAGAGGUUUUCAAAUUUCUGGAGCUUUUAUGCUUUAUGUUCUUGAAUUGUGACUUUUGCUGCCUGGUUGUUUAGAAUCUAAUAAACUGAAAAUUGGGUUUGUUAAUAUGAAUAAUAUUAGUAGUGUUGUGGCUUGAUUUGAUGGAUUUAAAAUUACGAUUGGUAUAUGUGAGGAAUAUUUUCCUUAAUUUAAGCUGAAGGAAUCAGAAUUCGAAGGUGACAACGAGCGGAGGACCUCUAGUGCAAAUAUGAGAACACCGAGGGAGUUAGUUGCAAAUGUUUCUAAUAAGGAUGCAUUACAUCUCGACCGUUCAAUGCUUUCAACGGAUGAGAUUAGAUCUCAUCAAAUAUUUCUUAAAACCCCUUUCCACUGCUAUGAGGAAGUUAUUUUAUGGAUUAGUGUCUUUAUAAUUUAUUUUUGGCAGAAUUCUAAUUUAAUAUUGAUUUAUUAUCUGCAACAAAUAAAAGUUUAAAUAUUAUAUUGAGGAAUAUUUAAAAACAACUAUUUUUAAGAGUUCAGAAAUUUAGAAAAAAAAAUAUGUAUUGAUAAUGUUUAGCAUCCAAUAAAUUGAAAAUUGGGUUGCUUAAUAUGAAUAUAUGUAAUUCUUAGCUCAAAGUCUAAAUAUUAUAUUGAGGAAUAUUCAUGUUGGUUAGCAUGAAUAUACUAAUACUAAUGGUAGUGUUGUGCUUUGAUUUGAUGGAUUUAAAAUCAUGAUUGGUGAAUAUUUAGCUCAACCGUUUUCUUUACUUUGAAAACUCUUUCCUACUAUAAAUAAGUGAUCAAGUAAUUAUUAACGAAGCCCAACUAUAUAUCAGCCCAAUUGCAAAGAUCCACUAAUGAAAGAAAUGGAUCCACGCCUUAAUUAAAAGAUCCAAUAAACAUAAAUUAAACCCACAAAUUAUGAGGCCCAACAGUACUUCAAUUUCAUGUUAUAAAAUCAACUCAAAGCCCAAUCAAUUAGUACUCCUCAACCAUAUAAAAGUAUUCCUCUCUAAAUGACACGGAUUUUAAUAAAUUAGUUGAAUGUGUUGUGACUUGUGAGUGGACUGUAAGGGUCCCACUUUAAUGUAAGUAGAAAACUUACAAAAAAUAGACCGGAUACAUUUUAUGAGGACGAACGAAAAUGACAAAUUGGAUACAUUUUAUGAGGACGAAGGGAGUAUAUGUUGUUAUCAUACCUUAAUAUGUAUAUGUUUGAAAAUUCAGUAUGAUCGCUGGAUCUUUAAAAAAUUUAUAAUAAAACUUUUAUAAAUUAAUAACUUCGGGACCUUAGAAUUUUAUCUAUAAAUUAAUAAUUUAUUAAUAUAUCGAUAAAUUUUAAAGAUGUUUACUGUAGUUAUAGAAUUAAAUAGAUCAAAUGCUAAUUAAAAAAAUUUAAUAUACUACACCGACGAUGCCCGGUGAAAAUCGAUCGAUCGACAAAGUGAGAUAUGACAGACCACCGACGGUGAGGUCAGUGUCCACAUAAUCAGUAAAAAAUUUACCAAGGAAUUUUUGCUGUCGUCGGUGAUCAUUGAUGGCCUUCCGGACAAAUAGUUCAUCGUUUUAUCUACUGACGUCGCCGGAGUGGGCCAGCGAUUUUACUGAUGAAUACAAAUGUAUGUAAUUGAAAAUACAUCACUGGUUCAAAAGGAUUACCAAAACUCAUCAUCCCAUCCAAGGGCUUCUUCCAUUGUCACGGGAAUCUAUUUCAUUGAUCUUGUUGCUCUAUUAAUAUAACCCCAAUAUUAAGUAAUAAGGUUUUAAGAUAAUGAGGCAUAAUUCCAAGUAAAGCAACUUAACAUUGCAAUACAAUGAAUUUAGACAAAAAUAUAACCUCAUUAGCCAACUACUAAUCAUAAUCAACCCAAUAGCUAAAAUCAUUAUUGAAACAAAAACUCAACCUUUACUAGAGAACCAAAAGCAGGCAAACAAACCAAGAAAUGCAGCAACUGAUGCUCCAACUGAUGCCACGUCAAUUUCGCAUUUAGGGAAAACACUCAUAGUGGGAAGAAUCAGAAAAUAAGUAAAGGUGAUGUAUUAUGAAACAGAUUUUAAAAAUGGCGUGCAAUUUUAGAAUUUGGUAAAACUUUGUGUAUUCAGGGACAAUUAACCCACGUAUAUUAACAAUAUAUGUUUUGUAAUUCUAUUUUUAUUGUCAUCUUAUUAUCUUCUCAGACCACUCCACUAAAGGUAAGGAGCACAAAUACAAUUAAAAUCAAAAGUGCUGCAACCACUCCACUAAUAAAGGUAAAGAGCACAAAUACCAUUAAAUCAAAAGGACACACUGAAAAGCAACUAAAGCGAUAAAUAUUGAUUUCUUAGUUUGAACUUUAACUACUUUUCAUUGAAUGGGCGAGAAUCAUUGAAUGAAAAAGAAGAAGAAGAAGACAAGGUAGAAACACAAUAAUGAGUUGGUUCUUUCUCAGAAGCUAAACUACUUUCACUCUUUUCUCAUACAACUCUCCAAGUCCUAAUUUCUCUGUUCCGGAAUAAAAAUUCUUUGCAAUCUCCAUUGAAGAAUUUGUGUUCACCACAACGAGUUCCUCAUCCUUAUUCCUCUCUAUAUAUACUCUCACCAAUAGUAAAUCAAUUUGACCAAAGAAAUUCGAGUUUGGAAUUGUUGCGAUGGCAGAAGCAGUGGUGUCGACUGCUCUGGAAACCCUGCGCGAUUUGUUGUUGGAAGAAGCAAGGUUUUUAUAUGGUGUGGGCGAUGAAGUGAAGGAGCUCGAGUGGCAGCUCAAAGAGAUGAAGUGUCUUCUCGAAGACGCCGACAAAAGGCGACAUGAAAGCAAAACCAUUCUCAAUUGGAUCUCAGAGAUCAGAGAUCUUGUAUACAGAGCCGAAGCUGCCAUUGAAAGACACGCAGCUUAUCAAGUGACUUCAAGGAGAAGACGAGGCCUCAAACAGCUCCUCCGCAGAUGUAGUUUGGAAGAAUACAAGUCGAUCCACCAAUUAGGCUCGGAGAUUUCACCGAUCAAAUCCCGACUUGAAAGGAUAAACAAGGAAAUGUUAGAAAGUGGCAUAAAGAAGAGCAUCAUCAACAAUACAGAUGAAGGGGAAAGCUCGUCCGCCAACAACAGGGCAAGGAAGAGCUUCCCCGAAUUCGAGAUCGGAGACUGUUUUGUGGGAAUGAAGGACGAGCUCAAGCAGCUUCUUCAUCUCCUAGUGGAAGACGAAAAGCAUCGAGUAAUUUCAGUGUGGGGAAUGGGGGGAUCAGGCAAGACCACCAUUGCCAAAAAGCUCUACAACGAGACAAACACCAGCUUUGAUCUUUGCGCAUGGGUUUGCAUUAGUCAGCAAUGUCAGAGCUUUCAAUCAGUUUGGAAUGAUGUUCUCAUGCAGCUACAGCAUCAAAACACGAAGGAUGGGCCAAAAAUAGGGAGGAUGUUACAAGUUUGAGCGAGUGGGAGUUGAAGGAGCGACUAUGCAAGAACAAAGAGAGAAGCGAUGUCUCAUUGUUUUUGACGAUCUUUGGAAAGUUUCUGAUUGGGAUGGCUUCAAGCAUCCCUUCCUUGUCCAAGAUUUGCAGAGCAAAAUCUUGAUCACCACGCGCGAACGGGAAGUCGCGGAGAUUGGAUGCCCUGUCAAACUUGGGCUUCUAAAAGAGGAAGAUGCUUUGGAACUACUCAAGAAGAAAGCAUUUCCCCACACCAACAUUCCAGGUUAGUUAGGAUUUGACUUCUAGUCUACAAAUAAUAUUCUAGAUUUACCUGCUUGUAGUUUCUUUUUUGCAUCAUCGGUUCCAAAUUAGAUGAGAGGAUAUGAUUAAGUUAUAAAGUUACUAUUCAAGUAAUUGUCAUUUGUUUUUCAAUGCAGAGUUUGCAUUGGAAGAAAAUGUUGAGAAAAUUGGGAAAGAAAUGGUGAAAAAAUGUGGGUAUUUGCCGUUGGCAAUUUGUUUACUCGGUGGGGUCUUGAGAAAGACAAAUUCGAUGAUGGAGUGGAAGUUAGUCAAAGAAUUCAUAUAUAGAGAUGAAAAGGAGAUUGAUGGAGUGCUAAAUUUAAGCUAUGAAAGUCUACCCUAUUAUUUGAAGUCAUGCUUUCUCUAUAUGGGUAUAUUUCAAGAGGAUGAAGAUAUAAAUGCUGACGAUCUAUAUAUGAUGUGGAUAGCACAAGGCAUGAUUUCUAUUGGAGACAAGGACAAAACUUUGAUGGAAAUUGCAGAGCUCUACUUGGGUGAGUUGGCCUCCAGGUCCAUCAUCCAAGUCGAAAUUUACGAUGGUGUCACACCUGGAAGAAAAUAUAGGAGCUGCAAACUUCAUGGAACCUGAGGAACUUACACUCACUUGGGGAGAAGAUAGUAGCGAACAUUUAAGGUCUCUUCAAAUGUUCAAUCACAUAAAUUCGGGUGUUGAUGUUGAGUAUCCCCCGCAAGGUAUCGUUGAUUUUCAGAAAUUCAAAUUGCUGAGAGAUCUAGGUAUGGUGGGAUUCAAAUUUGAAGGAAGAAAGUUAUCGAAAGGAAUCACUAGUCUUGUUCACCUUAGACGUUUGUGUUUAGAAAGAUGUGAAUUUGAUAAGCUACCAUCGUCCAUAAGGGAUUUGGUAUACAUGGAUACCCUUGAUUUAACUGAUUCGAUGAAUGUUGGAGUUCCAAAUGGUUUUAAGGAGAUGGUACGUUUAAAGCACUUGUUUCUUCCCAAUUAUGAUGAGGAAAAAAUUGGAAGUUAUCGAUUGACAUUGGACGAGGGAGUGAUUGAGUUGGAGACCCUGUGGAAUUUGGAUAGUCGAGUGCAUGACUUAAAAUGUAUGAACAGAAUGAAGAAUCUGCGAACUUUCUCAACAAAAAUAUACGACAACGAAAGCUUGUCAGCCAACAUCGACGCGAUUGCUCUCAUGGAAAAGUUACUGUAUUGUUGGGUUGGAAUCAAAAAGGGUUGCGAGUUAGGAACAAAUAAGGGAGUGUUAACGCUGAAGAAGGUAAUCACAUGUCCCAAUCUUCAUGCCUUGAGGAUUCAAGUUAAGUUAGGGAAGGCGCUGGCAAAGUGCGGGAGUGACUUCAUCAGUUCAAAACUUAUAACUUUGGUCCUGUCAAAAUGUGAGAUUGAGGAUGAUCCAAUGGGGAUACUGGGGAAGCUUCCUUGCUUGAUAUAUUUGCAGUUAUGGAGGAAAUCAUUUGUGGGGGAGGAGAUGACGUGUCCAUCAAACAGUUUUCCUAGCCUCAAGGAGCUUGCGCUAUAUCAAUUACCAAAGUUGAGGGAGUGGAGAGUGGAGGCAGGAGCCAUGCCCCUUCUCUCUGAAUUGAAGAUCUAUUAUUGUUCCAGUCUGAAGAUGCUUGCAGAUGGUUUGAGUGGCAUUUCUACUCUUCGGAAACUGGAGAUUGGUGGAAUGGCGGAAAUGGGGAAGAGGGUAUCGGCAUCAGGAGAGGAUUUCCACAAAGUCACCCAUGUCCCUUCAAUUAUCAUCCAAAACUAUUGAUGAUGACUAACUAAUCUAGUCUCCACCCGGGUAAUGCUUGCACCAAUCUCAUUCUCAAUUCCCAAUUCUGUUNNNNNNNNNNNNNNNNNNNNNNNNNNNNNNNNNNNNNNNNNNNNNNNNNNNNNNNNNNNNNNNNNNNNNNNNNNNNNNNNNNNNNNNNNNNNNNNNNNNNNNNNNNNNNNNNNNNNNNNNNNNNNNNNNNNNNNNNNNNNNNNNNNNNNNNNNNNNNNNNNNNNNNNNNNNNNNNNNNNNNNNNNNNNNNNNNNNNNNNNNNNNNNNNNNNNNNNNNNNNNNNNNNNNNNNNNNNNNNNNNNNNNNNNNNNNNNNNNNNNNNNNNNNNNNNNNNNNNNNNNNNNNNNNNNNNNNNNNNNNNNNNNNNNNNNNNNNNNNNNNNNNNNNNNNNNNNNNNNNNNNNNNNNNNNNNNNNNNNNNNNNNNNNNNNNNNNNNNNNNNNNNNNNNNNNNNNNNNNNNNNNNNNNNNNNNNNNNNNNNNNNNNNNNNNNNNNNNNNNNNNNNNNNNNNNNNNNNNNNNNNNNNNNNNNNNNNNNNNNNNNNNNNNNNNNNNNNNNNNNNNNNNNNNNNNNNNNNNNNNNNNNNNNNNNNNNNNNNNNNNNNNNNNNNNNNNNNNNNNNNNNNNNNNNNNNNNNNNNNNNNNNNNNNNNNNNNNNNNNNNNNNNNNNNNNNNNNNNNNNNNNNNNNNNNNNNNNNNNNNNNNNNNNNNNNNNNNNNNNNNNNNNNNNNNNNNNNNNNNNNNNNNNNNNNNNNNNNNNNNNNNNNNNNNNNNNNNNNNNNNNNNNNNNNNNNNNNNNNNNNNNNNNNNNNNNNNNNNNNNNNNNNNNNNNNNNNNNNNNNNNNNNNNNNNNNNNNNNNNNNNNNNNNNNNNNNNNNNNNNNNNNNNNNNNNNNNNNNNNNNNNNNNNNNNNNNNNNNNNNNNNNNNNNNNNNNNNNNNNNNNNNNNNNNNNNNNNNNNNNNNNNNNNNNNNNNNNNNNNNNNNNNNNNNNNNNNNNNNNNNNNNNNNNNNNNNNNNNNNNNNNNNNNNNNNNNNNNNNNNNNNNNNNNNNNNNNNNNNNNNNNNNNNNNNNNNNNNNNNNNNNNNNNNNNNNNNNNNNNNNNNNNNNNNNNNNNNNNNNNNNNNNNNNNNNNNNNNNNNNNNNNNNNNNNNNNNNNNNNNNNNNNNNNNNNNNNNNNNNNNNNNNNNNNNNNNNNNNNNNNNNNNNNNNNNNNNNNNNNNNNNNNNNNNNNNNNNNNNNNNNNNNNNNNNNNNNNNNNNNNNNNNNNNNNNNNNNNNNNNNNNNNNNNNNNNNNNNNNNNNNNNNNNNNNNNNNNNNNNNNNNNNNNNNNNNNNNNNNNNNNNNNNNNNNNNNNNNNNNNNNNNNNNNNNNNNNNNNNNNNNNNNNNNNNNNNNNNNNNNNNNNNNNNNNNNNNNNNNNNNNNNNNNNNNNNNNNNNNNNNNNNNNNNNNNNNNNNNNNNNNNNNNNNNNNNNNNNNNNNNNNNNNNNNNNNNNNNNNNNNNNNNNNNNNNNNNNNNNNNNNNNNNNNNNNNNNNNNNNNNNNNNNNNNNNNNNNNNNNNNNNNNNNNNNNNNNNNNNNNNNNNNNNNNNNNNNNNNNNNNNNNNNNNNNNNNNNNNNNNNNNNNNNNNNNNNNNNNNNNNNNNNNNNNNNNNNNNNNNNNNNNNNNNNNNNNNNNNNNNNNNNNNNNNNNNNNNNNNNNNNNNNNNNNNNNNNNNNNNNNNNNNNNNNNNNNNNNNNNNNNNNNNNNNNNNNNNNNNNNNNNNNNNNNNNNNNNNNNNNNNNNNNNNNNNNNNNNNNNNNNNNNNNNNNNNNNNNNNNNNNNNNNNNNNNNNNNNNNNNNNNNNNNNNNNNNNNNNNNNNNNNNNNNNNNNNNNNNNNNNNNNNNNNNNNNNNNNNNNNNNNNNNNNNNNNNNNNNNNNNNNNNNNNNNNNNNNNNNNNNNNNNNNNNNNNNNNNNNNNNNNNNNNNNNNNNNNNNNNNNAAAUUGCCGAGCUCUACUUGGGUGAGUUGGCCUCCAGUUCCGUCGUCCAACUUCAAAUUAGUUACGGCAAUGCUGUCACAAGUGGAAGAAAAUAUAGGAGCUGCGAACUUCAUGAUGUAGUAAGAGAACUAUGUUUGAAAUUGGGGAGAAGUGAGGAUUUUGGUGCGCAGAGUUUGGAGUAUCAAAGUGGGAAAGCUUCCUCGCAUAGGAAAAUACGGCAUUUGGCUAUACAUUUCAGGAAGGAAGUUCAAGUGGAACCUGACGAGCUUACACUCACUUGGGGAGAAGAUAGUACUGAACAUUUAAGGUUUCUUCAAAUGUUCAGUCACAUAAAUUCGGGUGUUGUUGAGUUUCCCCCGCAAGGUAUUGUUGAUUUUCAUAAAUUCAAAUUGCUGAGAGAUCUAGGUAUGGUGGGAUUCAAAUUUGAAGGAAGAAAGUUAUCGAAAGGAAUCACUAGUCUUGUUCAUCUUAGACGUUUGUGUUUAGAAAGAUGUGAAUUUGAUACGCUACCAUCGUCCAUAAGGAAUUUGGUAUACAUGGACACCCUUUAUUUAAGUUUUUCGAAGAAUGUUGAAGUUCCAAAUGUUUUUAAGGAGAUGGUACGUUUAAAACACUUGUUUCUUCCCGAUUAUGAUGAGGAAAAAAUUGGAAGUUAUCGAUUGACAUUGGAUGAGGGAGUGAUUGAGUUGGAGACCUUGUGGAAUUUGGAUAGUAGAGUGCAUGAUUUAAAAUGUAUGAACAGAAUGAAGAAUCUGCGAAGUUUCAAAACAAAAAUAUACGACAAUGAAAGCUUGUCAGCCAACAUCAACGCCAUUGCUCUCAUGGAAAAGUUACAGCGUUGUUGGGUUGGAAUCAAAGAGGGUUGCGAGUUAGGAACAAAUGAGGGAGUGUUAACGCUGAAGAAGGUAAUCACAUGUCCCAAUCUUCAUUCCUUGCGGAUUCACGUUAAGUUAGGGAAGGCGCUGGCAGAGUGCGGGAGUGACUUCAUGAUGAGCUCAAGACUUACGUUUUUGUGGAUGUAUGAAUGUGAGAUUGAGGAUGAUCCAAUGGGGAUACUGGGGAAGCUUCCUUGCUUGAUACAUUUGUAUUUAUGGAAGAAAUCAUUUGUGGGGGAGGAGAUGACGUGUCCAUCAAACAGUUUUUCUCGCCUCAAGAAUCUUAUUAUAUCAAAGUUACCGAAGUUGAGGGAGUGGAGAGUGGAGGCAGGAGCCAUGCCCCUUCUCUCUGAAUUGGAGAUCUAUCAUUGUUCCAGUCUGAAGAUGCUUCCAGAUGGUUUGAGUGGCAUUUCUACUCUUCGGAAACUGGAGAUUACUGGAAUGGCGGAAAUGGGGAAGAGGGUAUCGGCAUCAGGAGAGGAUUUCCACAAAGUCAACCAUAUCCCUUCAAUUAUCAUCCGAGACUAAAUGAUGACUAACUAAUCUAGUCUCCACCCGGGUAAUGCUUGCACCAAUCUCAUUCUCAAUUCCCAAUUAUGUUGCUUCAAUUGUAGUUUUUCUCUAAAGCUAGAUAGGUAUCUCGAUAAGGUUUUAACUAUAAAGCUCCACGCAUUCUAAACUUGUAUCGUCUUGGUUUUGGUUGCAGGGUACUUUUCUCCCAAGUGUUCCAUGUCCCAAGUGUUUCUCUUUAAUUAUUUGCAUUCUUUUCUCUGCAACCUUGUCUCGCUUUAAUCACUUUCUUUCAAAUAAAUGUGUAUAUUUCUUUUGUACAUGGGCAUGGUGGCCAUAUAUAUUCCAUUCCUUGUAUUAUUAAUCUGGACAAUUUAUUCUAGAGUUAUUUUGGUAAGAUUCGGCCCAUGAGCCUUUGCUUGUAAUUUCUGCAGAUUUAAGCUUUAUUUCUGUUCUUGAAUUGUGCUUUUUGUUGCUUGGUUGUGUAGAAUCCAAUAAAUUGAAAUUGUGUUGCUUAAUAUAUACGAAUAUACUGUACUAAGCAAGCAAAAUUAGAAAAAUUGGCUUAGGUUGAAGAUAUUGUUGAAGGAAAUUAGGUUGAAGAUAUUGUUCAUAAUUUGAUUUAAACCGUAAAUCAAAUCAAACCAAACCGUAUUUAUGUGGUUUGGUUUAAUUUGUUUACGGUUUGAAAAAUAUGGUUUGGUUUAUAUUUUUGCAAAAAUAUGGUUUAUGGUUUUUUUUAAAAAUUAUAGACCAAACCGUAUAUUUAAACCAAUUAUUAUUAUUAUUAUUAUUAUUAUUAUUAUUAUUAUUAUUAUUAUUAUUAUUAUUAUUAUUAUUAUUAUUAUUAUUAUUAUUCAAGUAUAUUUUGAAAGUUUAAUAAAAUUAUAUAAUAUUCCUAUCCGUUAAAGUCUUUAAUUACAUAUCAUCACACAAUAAGCUUACUUUUCUUAAACUUAAUUCUUAACCCCUAAUUUAUUUGUUUAGAUGGAUGCUAGAACCUCGACAAACAUGAAUAAUAUGGAGAAAAGACAUGCUUAAGAUUUAGUUUUGAUGCAUAUUAAAUGUCUUUUUAGUAUGUACUAACUUUUUUUUUUAUCAUUUUCUUCAAUGUUAUUUUAUUUUUAUUAAUUUUGAAGACCUUAGAUGUUUGAUUUUUUAUUACUCUAAAAUAUAAAAAUAAAAAAUAUAAAUAAAUCGCAAACCAAACCGCAUCAAACUGCAUUAAUACAGUUUGGUUUGGUUUGGUUUUAAUAUUAAUACGGUUUGGUUUGGUUUCAAAAUAUUAUAAAACUGUAUUUUAUGGUUUAAUUGGUUUGGUUUUGAUGCCAAACCGCAUCAAACCAAACCGCGAACACCCCUAUGUACGAAGAUCCAUUCUGGAUCGAACCACGUAAUUUCGAGUGCGUGUGAUUUCCAUUUUGUUUCUAUUUCGAUUCGUCGUGUUCUCGUGGUUGAAGCCCAACCACUUAUCAGCCCAAUAACAAAUAUGAGCCCAACCCAAUUUCUUUCUCUGUUUUCUUUCUUUAAAACCUUAUCUCUUUCAUCUUCGAUCCACGUUGAAAGAAAUUGAUCCAUACCUUAAUUAAAAGACCCAACAAACAGAAAUUCAGCCCGUAAACUAUCAGGCCCAACAACACAUCAAUUUCAUGUUAUAAAACCGAAAUCAAAAGCCCAAUCUGAUUAACUCGUAUUUAACCCAUUUUAAGUAUGGCAGCUAAACUACUUUCACUCUUUUCUCAUACAACUCUCCAAGUCCUAAUUUCUCUGUUCUGGAAUAAAAAUUCUUCGCAAUCUCCUUUGAAGAAUUUGUAUUCACCACAACGAGUUCCUCAUCCUUAUUCCUCUCUAUAUAUACUCUCAUCUCACCAAUGGUAAAUCAAUUUGAUCAAAGAAAUUCGAGUUUGGAAUUGUUGCGAUGGCAGAAGCAGUGGUGUCGACUGCUCUAGAUUAAUAUUGAUGUGGUGUUUAUAUUUUUAUACACGUUUUUUUAUGAUAUUAUCAAUCUCUUUCACACUUAAUAUUUUAAAAAAAUUAUCUAACAAAUCAUUUAAAAAUUACUCCCUCCGUCAACGAAAAUAUGGCCUAAAGGAUGGUGACACAAGUUUUAAGAAAACUUGUAUUGUUUAUUUAAUUAGUGGAGAAAAGGUUUAUAAAUUUAAAAAAAAAUGAAAAAAUUAAUUAAGUCAGUGAGUAGGAAAGGGGCCCGCAAGCUAGUCAAGUAAUUGCUAAAAAUAAGUUAUAAGUAACAUAUUUUUAUGGACAGACCAAAAUGCUAAAUUAAAUCAUAUUUUCGUGAACGAAAGGAGGAGUAAACAACAAAUUAACUUUAAUUUGUUAUUUUUUCACUUUAUACAAUCUUUUAACUAUUUUGUCGGUAUACUAUACUUUUGGUGUACCGACAAAUGAUUUACUAAUAUGUAUUUACUAUUGGUGAAGGAUUUACUAUACUUUAGACCACAUGCUCCUUAUCCUUUUUCCUUCACUAAUUUCCUUCACUCUCACCACUACCAAAUCAACACUGUUCCACCAAUCAAUUAAGCCAAAGAAAUCUGAGCUUGAAUUCUCUCAAAUUGUUGCAAUGGCAGAAGCAGUGGUGUCGAUUGCUUUAGAAACCUUGCGCGAUUUGUUGAAGGAAGAAGUUCAAUUUUUAUCUGGUGUGGGUGACGAAGUGAGGGAGCUCGAGAUCCAGCUCAAAGAGAUGAAGUGUCUUCUCCAAGAUGCCGACAGAAGACGACAUGAAAAUGAAACCAUUUUCAAUUGGAUCUCAGAGAUCAAAGAUCUUGUGUACAGAGCCGAAGCUGCCAUUGAAAGACACGCAGCUUAUCAAGUGUUGGCAAGGAGAAGACGAGGCCGAGGCCUGAGACAGCUCAUCUGCAGAUAUUCUUGUAUUUUGGAAGAAUUCAACUCGCUCCACCAACUAGGCUCCCAGAUUUCAAAAAUCAAAUCCGAUCUUGGAAGAGUCACCGAAGCCAUGCGAGCCUACGGAAUAAAUAAGAUCAUCGAUAGUGGGGAAAGCUCGGCUGCCGCCGACAACAACAGGGCAAGGAAGAGUUUCCCCGAAUUCGAGAUCGGAGAGUGUUUUGUGGGGAUGAAGGACGAGCUCAAGCAGCUUUAUCUCCUAGUGAAGACAAGACGAGUAUUUCAGUGUGGGGAAUGGGGGGAUCAGGCAAGACCACCAUUGCCAAAAAGCUCUACAACGAGACAACCAGUUUGAUCUUUCGCAUGGGUUUGCAUAUCAGCAAUGUCAGAGUUUUCAAUCAGUUUGGAAUGAUGUUCUCAUGCAGCUACAGCAUCAAACAGCGUAAGGAUGGCCAACAAAUAAGGGAGGACGUGUUCAAGUUGAGCGAGUGGGGAGUUGAAGGACGACUAUGCAAAAUACAAAAGAAAGCGAUGCCUCAUUGUUUGACGAUCUUUGGGAAAUUGCUAUUGGAUGUUAAGCAUCCCUUCCUUGUCAGAUUUGAACAAAAUUUAUCACCACGCGCGAACGGAAGUUGCAGAGAUUGGAUGCCCAGUAAAAGUUGGGCUUCUAAAAGAGGAAGAUGCUUUGGAACUACUCAAGAUGAAAGCCUUUCCACAUACCAACAUUCCAGGUCAGUUGUGUGUAUGUAUAAUAUGGUGCUUUAGUUUAUAUAUUACAUGAAUAUGACUUCUAGUCUACAAAUUAAAUUCUAAAAGAUUUACCGGCUGGUAGUUUCUUUCCUUGCACCAUCGAUUCCAAAUUAGAUGACAGGUAUAAUUAAGUUAUAAAGUUGUAGCACUAUUCAAUUAAUUGCCAUUUGUUAUUUCAAUACAGACUUUGCAUCCGAAGAAAAUUUUAAGAAAAUUGGGAAAGAAAUGUGGGUAUUUGCCGUUGGCAAUUUCUUUACUCGGUGGGGUCAUGAGAAUGAAAAAUUUGAUGGAGUGGGAGUUAGUAAAUGAGGAUAUAAAAAAAUACAUAUAUAGACAUGAAAAGGAGAUUGAUGGAGUGCUAAACUUAAGCUAUGAAAGUUUACCCUAUUAUUUGAAGCCUUGUUUUCUCUAUAUGGGUUUAUUUCAAGAGGACGAAGAUAUAUAUGUUGAGCAUCUAUAUACGAUGUGGAUAGCACAGGGCAUGAUUUCAUAUGAGAAUAUCCAAGACAAGGACAAAACUUUGAUGGAUAUCGCAGAGCUCUACUUGGGUGAGUUGGCCUCCAGGUCCAUCGUCCAAGUUGAAAUUGACGAUGGUCUCAGAUAUAUAGGAAAAUAUACAAGAUGCAAACUUCAUGAUGUAAUAAGAGAACUAUGUUUGAAAUUGGGGAAAAUGGAGGAUUUUGGUGUGCUGAAUUUGGAGUAUCAAAGUGGGAAACUUACUACCUUACUACCGCAUAUGAAAAUACGACAUUUGGCUAUCUAUUUCAGAAGAGAAGUUGAACCAGACGAGCUUGGAGAAGAUAGUUGCAAACAUUUGAGGUCACUUCAAAUAUUUAAUCCCAUUUCUACUAUUGAGUUUCCCCCACAAAGUAUCAUUGAUUUUCAGAAAUUCAAAUUGCUGAGAGAUCUGGUUAUGGUGGGAUUCGAAUUUCCAGGAAGAAAGUUACCUAAAGAAAUCACUAAUCUUGUACACCUAAGACGUUUGCGUUUACAUAGAUGUGAAUUUGAUAAACUACCGUCUUCCAUAAGGAAUUUGGUAUACCUGGAUACCCUUUAUUUAUUUGGUUCGUAUAAUAUCGAAGUUUCAAAUAUUUCUAAGAAGAUGUUGCGUUUAAAACACUUGGGUCUUCCCAAGUAUGAUGAGGAAAAUGUUGGAAGUUAUAGAUCAAUAUUGGAUGAGGGAGUUGCUGAGUUGGAGAGCCUAUGGCAGUUGGAUAGUAGAGUGUAUGAAUUAAAAUGUAUGAACAGAAUGAAGAGCUUGCGACGUUUCUCAACAAUGAUACACGACAAUGACAGCUUGUCAGCCAUCAUCGACGCCAUUGCUACCAAGUGGAACAAGUUAGUGUUUUGUAGGGUUGAAAUCAAACCGGGCUGCAAGCUAGGAACAAAUGAGGGAAUGCUGAAGAAGACAUUUACAUGCCCCAAUCUUCAUCACUUGUCGAUUUAUGUUAAGUUAGGGAAGGCGCUGCCAGAGUGGGGGGGUACGUUCAUGAUGAGCUAAACUUCGAGUUUGAGGCUGUAUGAAUGUGAGAUUGAGGAUGAUCCAAUGGGGAUACGUGGGGAANCAUGAUGAGCUCAAAACUUACGAGUUUGAGGCUGUAUGAAUGUGAGAUUGAGGAUGAUCCAAUGGGGAUACUGGGGAACCUUCCUUGCUUGACAUAUUUGUCUUUAUACUGGGAAUCAUUUGUUGGGGAGGAGAUGACGUGUCCAUCAAACAGUUUUCCUCGCCUCAAGAAUCUUCGUAUAUCAGAGGUUUUAAAGUUGAGGGAGUGGAGAGUGGAGGCAGGAGCCAUGCCCCUUCUCUCUCAAUUACUGAUUUCCUAUUGUGAUAGUCUGGAGAUGAUUCCAGACGGAUUGAGUGGCAUUUCUACUCUUCGGGAACUGAAGAUUUAUGGAAUGCCGGAAUUGGGGAAGAGGAUAUCGGCAUCAGGAGAGGAUUUUCACAAAGUCACCCAUGCCCCUUCAAUUAUCAUCCGAGACUAGUCUCCACCCACCCACGUAAGGUAACUCAUUUCUUGCAUUUUCAAUUUUAGUUUUUAAUAUUAUAUGUAUAUUCACCAUAUUUAACCCUUGUAAUUACCAAGCUGGCAGAAAGCAUCGUUUCAUUUGAGGUUUUCAAUAAAUUGCAAAGUUUUGGAUAGUUAACCACAUAACAAUUAAAAGCAUUUGUGUUUGUUCUUAUAUAUUUUUCAUUUCGUUAUGUCAAACUACUUGCCACGAUGCCAUAAAACCAAAACAAAUGUUUCCUUCUACUAUUUUUCUUGCCCAUGACCAUCUCAUCUCAUUAAUCUAACUCAAUUCUAAAUUUCUAAAUGAGAAUUAAAAAGGAUAGUAAAUUAUAAAAGGACAGUACUGAAUCAUUACACAAUGUUGACUAAUUAGAAAAAAUAAUUGAUUUUUGAUAAGUACGUACUAAAUUUUGUCUAAUAAAGCUCCCACAAUGCAUUAUUUUUCAGUUUUGCAAUAAACAUAUUUUGUCUACUAUCAUAAAAUUAUAAUAUAUGCAUCCUCAAACUCUAAUUCUGUCAUUAUGUUUGUAAGAGAACUCUUUUGUAUAACUGUUGAUUACAGGUUGAGCAUUGGUUUUGUGGAGAGUAACUGAUUAUCACUACUACUUUUGGUGCUCAAACAAAACAUUUUACCUUAUAUUCUUGGUGAGAUUUUAAUGUAGUGCAACUCAUUGUAAGGUUGUAUCGCUUUUUUUCUUUAUAUAUUUAUAUAUAGUUUUUUAAUUUGUGUGAUGCAGGUUAAAUUUCUUCCCCUUCGAGGUGCAGUCUUGUUGUUGCAAUUCUCAAGUGUUCAUCUUUGAACAGCAAAAAAGAUAUACUAGUAUUCCUUAGUAUGUUUAUGUGUGUGUGAGGGAUUGUAUAGAAUCUAUAAGUAAUUCAGUUGUGUUUGUGAAUAUGAUAUUCUAUAUUCGAAGUGCUAUUCUGUUUGAAUUGAAUUUGACGGUUUGUAAUGACUCAAAUGUACAACUCAAUAUGUUAAUAUUGAGUACAUAAUAAUAGAAUACAAAAUAAGGUUCAAUUAAAAAUUUAUGCUACAUUACCUCAUAAAAAAAAAAUAUGCUACAUUUAAGGUAGGGCCGGAUGAGUAAUUUAAAUAAGCCCAACUCAAUUCAUUAAUGAAGCCCGGCUACUUAUCAGCCCAAUUGCAAAGAUGAGCCCAACCCAAUAUCUUUCGAUAAAUCCUCAUCUCUUUCAUCUUCGGCCCACUCUGAAAUAAAUGGACCCAUAAUUAACAGAUCCAACCAACACAAAUUCAGCCCACAAAUUCCCAGGCCCAACAGCACUUCUCAUGUUAUAAAACAGAACUCAAAACUCCAAUCUGAUUAACUCUUAUGCAAGUUUAAUCCAUUUGAAAAAAUCGCAUAAUAUAUAUGAUGAUGUCGAGAAAUGAAAUACAGUCGAGAAUAUUGAUGAUCCAUUUUAAUAUCAAGCGACUUCAUGAUCGUGAGGUGUGUGUUGGUGAGAGAUGUAGUUUAAUCCCAAAUCUCCCUCUCUAAGCUAAACAUACAUUAUCAAAGUUAUAAUAUGUAGAGUUCAUUAUUAAGGAUGGAGCAUGUUUGGUGAUGGUAUUAGUGUUGAUAUGUGCUCAAUAUUUUGCUUAUGAAAUGUCACGAAUAAUCCUAAUUUAGCUAAGGGGGCAAUGCCCUUCGAAAUGCACUCAACUUUGUCAUUUAUGAGUGUAUUUUUCGGCUUUUGGUUAAUACGUUUCACCUAAUUGAACACAUUUAAAUUGUCUAACAUUUGACAAUAUUAAAUCCGUAGCACUGUCACAUAUCGUUAUCUAUAUUUGAAUAGAUAAUGUCACACAAAUUGACAAUAAAAAAUAACAAUUCAGAGGUUCCACAAUUAACUAACCUUGUCUUAAUCGUCAUUUAAGUCGAAGUCUUAACAACUUUUAUUUGGCUGAAUAAUUCUUAUUAUCACAUGCAACUAAUCCACUAAAGGUCAUGAGCACAAAUGAUAUAUAAUCAAAGGACAGACUGCAAAGCAUCUUUUGUUAUAACUUAGCUGCAAGUUGGAUAUAUUUUACAGCAAUAAACUAAUUAUAAUAAUUAACAAAAAGACAAGUUGCUUUCUGUUUCAAAGUCGAUAGAAGCAAAUAAAUAUUGAUUCCUUAUAAUUUGAAUUUUAAUUACUCUUCAACAACUAAUAGUAGGUAUGUAUGAACACAAGAAUAAUGGUGUAUAAAAAUAAUUAAAUAACCUGUCAUAAUUGAUUGGGAAUAAUAUAUUCAACAUGAGCUUGUAAAUAUAUAAGAGAUUAACUAAAGUUCUUGUGUGAUACACCGAUCAAACUAGACCAAACUAUCAAAGAAAUUAAUCACAGGCAAGAGCCUCGGUCGAACUGUUGCAAUGGCAGAACCAGUGGUGUCGAUUGUUCUAGAAACCGUGCGUGAUUUGUUGUUGGAAGAAGCAAGGUUUUUAUACGGUGUUGGCAAUGAUGUGAAGGAGCUCGAGAAGCAGCUGAAAGAGAUGAAGUGCUUUCUCGAAGAUGCUGACAAAAAACGACAUGGCAACAAAAUGGUUACUGAUUGGAUCUCGCAGAUCAGAGAUCUUGCAUACAGAGCCGAAUCCGCCGUUGAAUUGCACGCAACUCGAGUGUCUUCGAGGAGCAGACGAGGCCUCGGACAGCUCAUCCGCAGAUAUUCUUGCCUCUCGAUCCACAAACUAGGCUCCGAGAUUUUACAGAUCACAUCCGAUCUUGGAAGCGUCACCGAAGCCAUGCGAGCCUACGGAAUAAAGAACAUCAUCGAUGGCGGGGAGGGACACACCAGGUAAUUCUUUUUUUUUUUUCAAUUCUUUUUUGAUAAAUUUACAAUAUUAAAUAAAGGAAUUAAAAGUUCGCGCCACACACCACACAGGGGACUCGAACCCAAGACCUUUGGUCUUAGGCAUUAACCCCUUACCGCUUAGCCAACAUACGCACACUUUUUUUUUCAAGGGUUAAGUAUCAAAUAAGCCCCAACCAUAGUGGCCCUUAUCACGUUUAGCUCCCUAUAGUCGAAGUUGGGCCAACUAAACCCCUGAAGUCCUUAAUUUCGAACGAUCAGGCCCUCUGUCCUAACGGCAACUUAACACCGUUAACUAUUUAAUUUUUUUUUUAAUUUUAACACGUUCAUUUUCGCCGGAAACUCGCCGGGAAUAAUAUUUUUUCGCGCCGCCACUGAGCGGCGCCGCUGCUUGCACAGCCUCCGUCCACCUGUCGCCGACCACCUUCUGAACUCACCGUCGGACAAACAUGCGACGAGGAGGAGGCACGAUUAAAAUCGCGGCCAUCUCUCCGUCUGAAAAAUGACAAGCCCACGUCUGAAAUCGCGCCAACCCACGCUGCGAUUCAUAACUUCGUGCCGCCUCACAGCAACCCCAGCAACGGAACUCCGUUGGGAAUCGUUCAUGGCGGUUGGGCUGGCAAGAUUUGCAGGAGCAAACCCACCCAACCCCCAAUUGCCGUCGACUCCCAGACGAACGCCAAGCAACCGCAAAACCUGCUAGGGAUUGGACGAGGUGGGGGAGGUGAGAGAGGGGGAUGCGGUGGCGAUGAGAGAGGCGGAGGAUACGCCAUUGUUCCGCCGUCGUGGAUGGUGGUGGUGGUGAAGGGCUUCCCCAAAACAGUGUAUCCGACGAGUUUCCGGCGAAUAAUGUUAAAAUUAAAAAAAAUUAAAAUAGUUAACGGUGUUAAGUCGUCGUUAGGGCAGAGGGCCUGAUUGUUUGAAAUUAAGGACUUCAGGGGUUUAGUUGGCCCAACUUCGACUAUAGGGAGCUGAACGUGAUAAGGGCCACUAUGAUAGGGGCUUGUUUGAUAUUUAACCCUUAUUUAUUAUAAAAAAAAAAGAUUAAGUAUCAAUUUCACCACGUGGAGGCCCCUAGAACGUUUAGCACCAUAUGGGCAGGGGUGUGUCAACUAAGCCCCCGAAGUAUCUAAUUUCCUCCAAUUAAGCCCUCCGACAUAACGGAGAGUUAACACUGUUAACUUUUUAAUUUUUUUAUUUUGUUGGUGGUGGGACCCACACCUUCUACUUCACCAAAUUCGUCGGAAACACGUCGGAUACACGCUGGAAACCUAAUCCUAUCCUUGUUAGCCCACUUCUCCUUCUGCCUUUGCCUCUACCAGUCCAUCUCCCAACUACUCCUCUCUCUAAAUUUCCAUGAAAUUGAUGCUCGUCGCUGAAACAAUUCACUAUCCAAAUCCACCGAGCUCGCCGUCAUGGCCAACGAUUCGGCAGAAUCAAACGCCAUCAACUCGCACACCAUCGGAAUCUGGNUUGCCGUCGACUCCCAGACGAACGCCAAGCAACCGCAAAACCUGCUAGGGAUUGGACGAGGUGGGGGAGGUGAGAGAGGGGGAUGCGGUGGCGAUGAGAGAGGCGGAGGAUACGCCAUUGUUCCGCCGUCGUGGAUGGUGGUGGUGGUGAAGGGCUUCCCCAAAACAGUGUAUCCGACGAGUUUCCGGCGAAUAAUGUUAAAAUUAAAAAAAAUUAAAAUAGUUAACGGUGUUAAGUCGUCGUUAGGGCAGAGGGCCUGAUUGUUUGAAAUUAAGGACUUCAGGGAUUUAGUUGGCCCAAUUUCAAUUAUAGGGAGCUAAAUGUGAUAAGGGUCACUAUGAUAGGGGCUUAUUUGAUACUUAACAUUUUUUCAAUUAUAACUAGUAGAAAGAGCGUAUGCUAUAGUAUAAUUAAUGUUAUUUUAUUUGAUAAAAUAAAAAUAUGAAUAUAAUAUUAUUAUAUUAAUUUUCCAAUUAUAAUAUGUCUAUUAAUUGAUUAAUUCUAUAUUAUUUAUCUUUUAGAGCAAUAUUUUAGAAAAUCUAUUAGUUGGAUAAUAUAUAAACACAAAUACUCAUGUACAACCGGUUGCACCGUGCAACUGGUUGCUAGAAUGACACUACUUCACACUUGAACAUUUCCGAAUGACACUACUUCAACAUACAAAUGACACUUGAAGAUUUUCAAGUGUUAUUUGUAUGUUGAAGUAGUGUUAUUCAGAAACCAAUUGCACGGUGCAACCGGUUGUACGUGAGAGUGCCUCAUAUAUAAAUGGGUAAAGAAUUGGUAGACGAAGAGAGCAUAUAUAAUAUAAUUUAUUGCAUACAUUUAUUUACAUAUAUAUAUCGCAUAUAUUUAGUGUAAUAUCUAAUGAAUUUAUAUAUUUAUAAAUAUAAUAUAUAAAAUAAUCUUAAAAUAAAAUGUAUAACAGGGAUAAAAUUGACACAUGUGCUCAAGGCUCUUUUAGAUUAGUAUAGAUUUAGUCUGUCCAAACUUGUUUCUAAAUAUUUGCUUUUAAAAUCCUAGCUCCAUCUCUGGCGCGGGGGAGAGCUCGGCCGCCAGCGACAACAAAAAUUGGUUGAGGAAAACCUUUCCGGAUUUGGAGAUGGAUGAGUGUUUUGUGGGGAUGGAGAAAGAGGUGAACCAACUGAAAUAUCUGCUCGUCGAGGACAAAGAGCAUCGAGUUAUUUCAGUAUGGGGCAUGGGAGGUUCGGGCAAGACCACCAUUGCCAGAAAGCUGUACAACGACAUCAAGCACACCAAAAACGGUUGCUUUGACUGUUUUGUGUGGGUUUGUAUAUCUCAGCAAUGUCAGAUCCGGUCGGUUUUGGAGGAUAUUCUCAGACAGCUAAGACCACCAAAGGUUAAUGAGAAUAUUGUUUCAGACUUACCAAAUGUUAAUGAGAAUACUGUUUCAACAAGUCUGAGUGACGCGGCGUUGAUGGAGCAAGUAUGUGAGAUGCAACGAAGGAAGCGAUGCCUGAUUGUGGUGGACGAUCUUUGGGAAACUUCUCAUUGGAAUAGCUUGAAGCAUGCCUUUCUUGUCCAGGAUUUGCAGAGCAAGAUCUUGCUCACUACACGUGAACGAAAGGUUGCAGAAAUUGGAUGCCCCGUAGAACUUGGGCGUCUAAGUACGGAAAAUGCUUUGAAACUACUUAAAAAUAAAGCAUUUCCCCGUACCAACAUUCCAGGUCAGUUUGUGUGUAUAUAUGUAUAUGUAUAAUGUGGUGUUCAGUUUGGUGUUUACUUUGCAUAAUUAAUAAGCUAAAUGAUUGAGUAUUUUUAUUCUUAAAAGAUUUUUCUAAUCCCACUCUUUCAAUGAGGUAAGAAUCAAACAAAACUAGCUUAAACGAUAGAAAAUCAAGGACCUUGUGACUUCUUAAUAAUAUUGCAAACCAUCCUAGUAACUAAGGGAUUAACCUUAUUAUUUUUGUCUAUCAAGUCUAAUCCUUUAAAAUAAAUACACUUUAUGAGAUAAUAAUUCGAGUGCAUUCUCUUUGAAGGAAAAGGCUAGGAAAUAGUACUAUGUAUUCACCUUUCUUUCCACUUUUCCACAUGUUCUCCGGUUGGCUGAAUAAUUUUUCUCGAGCAAAAUGGAAAAAAGAAAUGGUGCAGCUCAUCUAUAUCUAUAUCUAUAUAUAUAUAAAAGCACAACAACUACAAAAAAUAGCAAGUUGUAUUUUCCCGUCACAAAAUCACCUUACUGUUUUUGGAAAUAAUUAUAUUUUUAAAUUUUAUUUGUUAGUUUAUUUCGUCUACUCUAUAUAAUUUAUUCUAGGCAAAAUGCAUCUUCAAGUCCCUAUACUUUUACUUUUUGUUUAGUUAGGUCCUCGUAUAUUUUUUCGUUUUAAUAGGCCCUUCUACUUUUUAUUUUGAUUUCAUUAUAUCCUUAUUUAACGGAAUGGUUAACUUUUCCGUUAUCUAAAUAAUAUAUCAUUAUUUAUAUAUGGAAUAAGUUUCUAUAUCUUAUAGUACUAAAUGUAUUUUUUUUAAUAACUAAUAAAUUUUCCUUUUCCUCCAUUGUCUUAUGCUCGAGAAACCCAAAUCAAAUUCAACCAAAAUUUUGAAAAUCCAACUCCACUUUCGCAGCUAUGUUUGGUGAAUUAAUUUCACAUCUCUAAAAUACCACAAUGCUUUAAUGAUUAUCCACCUCACUAAUGGGCAAUGCCCAGCUCUGUGGCCAUCUUCAGUUUGCCUGCAAAGAAGUUGUGUUUUAGAAUUUUUGAUGAAAAUUUUAUUUGGGCAAAGUUCAGAGAAUAUGACCAGGGAGAAUAUGACGAUGAAGAAAGGGAGGAAAAGGAAAAUUCAAUAGUUAUUAAAAGAAAAAACAAUAACUAGGAUAAUAUGUGGAAAUUUAUUAUUUUGUAAAUAAAUAAUGAUGUUUAGUUUAGAUAAUGGAAAACUUAACCAUUCCAUUAAAUAAGGACCCAUUGAAAUUAAAAUUAAAAAUAGAAGGAUCCAUUAAAAUGAAAAAAUGUACGAGGAUCUAAUGAAACAAAAAGUAAAAGUAUAGGGAUUUGAAGAUGUAUUUUGCCUUUAUUCUACUACUCAUAUACUCUAUUCCAUUAUUUAUGGUAUGUUUUCCUUUUUGGGUUGUCUCAUCUUUUAUGGCCUGUUUCUAUUUUUGGUAAUAAUUUUAUACUACAAACAAUGUGGCCUCAAACACCUUUACACACUUUUACACUACAAUCUUAUUAUCCUAAAUAACCCGUGCCCAAAAGAAAUAGGCCAUUAAUAGUGGGACGGAGGGAGUAAUUUAUUACAUUUUCAUAAUUUGUAGUUUUUAUUUUAAAAUGAGUUUGUAGCCUAACUUUACCUUAUAUGACCAUAUUAAGUAUGUAAUAACAUAUUUUUGUCUGAUCAUAAUAUUUAAUAAAUAUAAAUAAAAUUAUCAAAAUAUUAAUGUAGAUAAAAAUUUAUGAUCAUAUAUGGACUUUUAACAUAUGUAUUUAUUUGUCUUUCCUUCACUAAUAUUUAGUCAACAAGUUACAAAAGAAAUUUUGAACAUUUAUAAUUAAUCAAGUCACUAUAAUAUUCUAUAUAAUAUAUAGUACUAUAUAUAUGUUUUAUAUAUAGUUUCUAAUUAUGUUUCAUAUAUAGUUUUUAAAAAUGAUAUGUAUAAAUGGAAUACCAUAUUUAUGUAUUGAUAAUUUUGAAUCAACAAUUAAUAAUUAAUGUUACAAUGACAUAACUCAUGACAACAUAUUUAUUUUAAUAUUUUAAUUGAAUGUUAUUUCUAUAGUGGCAUGCAUUAAACUUAAGAAGAUUUACUUAUAUACAAUUAAUAUAUAAUAUAUUAUGUUAUAUAAAUGAUCUAUUCCAUAUAAUAUAUGUGUGUGUGUGUGUAUAUAUAUAUAUAUAUUGACUUUAAUCUCUAAUAGAUAAGAUAUUAUAGUCUAUGAAUGUUCACUAAUUUAAUCUAAUAUAUAUCUACAUAAAAAUAGUAUAGAAGGGGCAAAAAAUCCAAAUAUUCUAAGUUCUAAUUGUUUAAAGAAAAUAACUCAUAUAUCAAUAUUAUAUGUAAUAAAAGUAGUUCAUUAAAAGUGAUUUGCUACAUUUGUUACCAACUUUAUAAUUUUUCAGUAGAAAAUUCGAACUAAGAGGUAGGGCUGCUUAUUUGGAUAUUGGGUAUUGGUUAGAUUCGAACCGAAACUCGCCGGUUAUCGAGUAACUGAUACCCGAUAUUUGACUAAAUGGUACGGUUAUGGGUAUACCCGAUAACCGAUUGGGCCGGGUAUACCCGUUUAACUGAUUUAAUUAAUUUUAAAAUUAUAAAAUAUAAUUUUAUUAAUAUAAAUAUAUUUAAUUUGAUAUUUAUAAUAUAACUACAACGUUACGUGAAAGGAAAUGUAUCAAUUCAAAUACUAAUAAUUAAAUAAACUUAUGAAUAGUCAAAGUAAAAUAGAAUAAUCAAUAAUAAACUAUUAAACUGUAUUAAAAUUUUAACUCAACUCAAUGAAAUCAUUAACUUGUUCAUCGCUUCAUCUAGAAGGUCGCGGGUUCAAACCCCUUUGAAGGCAAAAGCAGCAAUUUCAACAAUUUUUAGUGUGCAUGUGUUGGCCAAGCGGUAAGGGAUUAAUGCCCAAGACCAAAAAAGUCUUGGGUUCGAGUCCCCUGUGGCGCGGCCUUUAAAUUUCUUCGUUUAGUGUUGUUAAUUUAUCAAAAAGAAAAAAAUAACUUGUUCAUCGCAUCAUCGCACGAGAAAUUGUGAAGGUGAGUUGAUUAAAUAAGUUCUGCUAAAUAGCUACCAUUUAACAUAGCUAAAUUUUUCUAAUAGUAUCUCGAUUACCCGUUUAACCGACCCAUAUAACUGUCCCAUUCAACCAGUAAUACCGUUUGGGUUCAGGUACGGGUAACAUAAAUGCUACAUUUUUGGUACGAAUACCCGAAUUUUGGGUACGGUUAUCCCGUACCCGACCCAUUCAUAUAUCACCCCUACUAAGAGGUGAUUAGAAUAAAAUCAAAUUCGUUAUUACAAUUUGAACUCAUGAAGAUAAUCAAUUUUUUUCAUGAAGCGUCUAUUUCUAUAUAAAAGGAAAGCAAUAAUGUGAAAAUGUCAAUUCAAAAUAAUUUCACUUCAUUGAAUUUUAAAAAAAUAAUUGGGACGAAUGAAGUAUUUUGAAAAAAUUCUGAGUUGUAUAAUAUGCAUCAAAGAAUAAAAGAUCUAGAAAAUCUUUUUUGCUAAUAUGCAUAAAAAAAUUAGAAAAUCUUUCUUGCUUAAUAGAAACCUAAAAUAAAAAAUAUAUUUAAACUAGCUAAUAAUGAUCGUUGAUAAAAAUAUAUUUUUAAUUAAGAUAUUGGUCAUUGAUUUGACUCACAUACAACUAUAAAAAGUCACUUUUAUUUGAACAAUUAUAGUAUAGGUGAGAUCUAUCUUAUAUAAGUUAAAAAAAAAUUAUGAAUGUGAUCUUUUAAGUAUAAAUUACUUAUACUUUAAAUAAUUUAGCUAAAUAAUUAUUAGCAUGCAUCGCACGGUAGCAAAACUAGUCUUUACUUAAUUUUACUUCAACUUAUGAUAAAUUGACACGUGUCAUUCAUCUGUAUUUUUAAUAGACAAGCAGAAAGAAUUAGUGUCAUUUUAUUUGAUAAAACAAAAAAUAUAAAUAUAAAAUUUAGUAUUAUAUUUAAUCUUUCAAUUAAUAACUUGUUAUAUUAAAUUCUAUUAUCUCUUAUAGUAAUUUUUUUGAGAAAAUCUAUUAGUUCAUUAUUUCUACUAAAUAUAAUUUAUUGGAUAGAUAUAUUUAUUCAUAAGCCUUAUAAUAGCUAUAGAUAUAUAUCACAUGAUUUAGUGUACUAUUUAAUAAAUUAGUGUAUUCUUAUAAAUAUAUAAUAUAUAAAUCCACAUAAAACAUGUAAUAAGGAUCAAAUUGGCAAUCCACGUGUUGUGCCCAAAACUUUGUUUAUAUUAGCUAGUAUAUAUAGAUAAUGUCAAUUGUCACACAAACUGGCAAUAGAUAAUCAUAAACGAAAUUGUUGUCUUUUCUUAUCUUUUUUCCUUAUGAUAAAUUUGUACCCAACGGGAGCACACUCUUAACAAUGAAAAGUGAAGUGCAAUAGUUACAAGAUUAAUAUGGGGUCAGAGGAUUUUUUAGGACAAUAACUUAGGUUGAUUUGGAAAUUAAGACAAAAACUUUCGGACUUCUAAAAAUAGGACACUAAUUUUUUUUAGAGUAAAAUAGGACACUAAUUAAUAAGCGUCGUAAAAUAGGACAUUUUUCGGCCGAUAAUUGGCCGAGAAAUGUCCUGCGGGUGCAACACUUAUUAAUUAGUGUCAUAUUUUACUCUAAAAAAAAUUAGUGUUCUAUUUUUACAAGUCCAAAAGUUUAUGUCCUAAUUUCCAAAUCAACCUAAGUUAUUAUCCUAAAAAACCCUCGAACUCGAUUAAUAUGCAAGUAGUUUCUUUUGACUUCUAACGGAUUAAUAUGCAAGUAGUUUCUUUUGACUUUUAACAGAUUAAUGUAGAUUUAAUUGGAUUUGGCUUCUACUGCAAAUUAAUUUUCUAACAGAUUUACUUGCUAAUAGUAAUGUCUUUUGUUGUCAUUUGUUAUUACAGACUUUGCAUUGGAGGAAAAUUUUGAGAAAAUUGCGAAAGAAAUGGUGAAGAAAUGUGGCUAUUUGCCCUUGGCAAUUUCUUUACUUGGUGGGAUCUUGAGAAUGAAAAAUUCGAUCAUGGAGUGGGAGUUAGUAAAUAGGGAUAUCAAAGAACACAUAUAUAGAGAUGAGAAGCAGAUUGAUGAAGUGCUAAAUUUAAGCUAUGAAAGUCUACCAUAUUAUUUGAAGCCUUGCUUUCUCUAUAUGGGUAUAUUCAAAGAGGACCAAGGUGUAGGUGUUGAGUAUCUAUAUAGGAUGUGGAUAGCGCAAGGCAUGAUUUCAAAUGAGAAUAUUCGAGACAAGGACAAAAUUUUGUUUGAAAUUGCGGAGCUCUACUUGGGUGAGUUGGCCUCCAGGUCCAUCGUCCAAGUUGUAAUUAACGAUGGUGUCACACCUGGAAAGAAAUAUAAGGCAUGCAAACUUCAUGAUGUCGUAAGAGAAGUAUGUCUGAAAUUGGGGGAAAUGGAGGAUUUUGGUGUACUGGGUUUGGAGUAUCAAAGUGGGAAACUUAGUACCUUACAACGGGAAGCUUCCUCGCUUAUGAGAAUACGACAUUUGGGUAUCCAUUUCAGCAAAGAAGUCCAAGUGGAACCUGACGAGCUUACAAUCACUUGUGGAGAAUAUAGUAGCAAACAUUUAAGGUCUCUUCAAAUGGUCAGUCACAUAAAUUUGAGUGUUGCUAUUGAGUUUCCCCCACAAAGUAUCAUUGAUUUUCAGAAAUUCAAAUUGCUUAGAGAUCUUACUAUCAAGGGAUUCAAAUUUGCUGGAAGAAAGUUACCAAGAGGAAUCACAAAUCUUGUUCACCUUAGACGUUUGUGUUUACAAGCAUGUGAACUUGAUAAGGUACCGUGGUCCAUAAGUAAUUUGGUAUACAUGGAUACCUUUGAAUUAACUGGUUCGUAUAAUGUUGAAGUUCCAAAUGUUUUUAAGGAGAUGCCACGCUUAAAGCACCUGAUUCUUUCCUAUUGGAAGGUGGAUUAUAUUGGAACUUAUCGGCUAACAUUGGAUGAGGGAGUGGUUGAGCUAGAGACACUAUGGGGGUUGGAUACUAGAGUGCAUGAAUUAAAAUGUAUGGGUAGAAUGAAAAAUCUGCGACGUUUGUCAAUAAAUUUCCACGACAAUGAAAGCUUGUUAGCCACCAUCGACGCCAUUUCUACCAUGGACAAGUUAGUGAGUUGUAUGGUUGGAAUCAAAGAGGGUUGUGAGUUCGAAACAAAUAUGGGAGUGUUGGAGAAGGCAUUUACAUGUCCCAAUCUUGACAACGUGUAUAUUGACAUUAAGUUAGGGAAUAUGCUUGCAAAGUGUGGGUGUAACUUCAUGAGCUCAAAACUUACGACUUUGUACCUGGGUGGAUGUGCGAUUGAGGAUGAUUCAAUGGAGAUAUUGGGGAAGCUUCCUCGCUUGAGAGAUUUGUCUUUAUUAAUUGGUUCAUUUGUUGGGGAGAAGAUGACGUGUCCAUCAAACAGUUUUCCUCGCCUCAAGACGCUUGUCCUAUUUAAAUUACCAAACCUGAGAGAGUGGAGCGUGGAGGCAGGAGCCAUGCCCCUUCUCUCUAAAUUAGAAAUAAAUGAGUGUUCUAAUCUGGAGAUGAUUCCAGAUAGAUUGAGUGAUAUUUAUACUCUUCGGGAACUCGAAAUUAGUGGAAUGUCAGAAUUGGGGAAGAGGGUAUCGGCAUCAGGAGAGGAUUUCUAUAAAGUCAGCCAUGUCCCUUUAGUUAUCAUCCGAAACUAGUCUCAACCCAGGUAAGAUAUAUAUCUCAUAAUUUCUCACAUUUUCAAUUUUAUAGUUUUUAAUUUAAUAAUGUACAUUAUUCCUUUCACCAUAUUUAACACUUGUAAUGACCAAACUGGCAGAAAAUAUUCUUUCCAAUAGGGUUUUCAAUAAAUUGCAAUGUUUUGGGAUAGUAAACCAUGUAACAAUUUCAUAUGGCCAGUUAAAAGUAUUUGUGUUCGUUCUUCUUAUAAAUUUUUCAUUUUUUCGUACCCUUAUGAUUAUUUUAUCCUGUUAAAAUAGGCAUAACUACUUGCGACGAUGCCAUAGAACCAAAACAAAUGUUUAUGUUCUUCCUUUUACUGUUUCAUAUUGCAGGCAAGUUGGAGCUAGGCUGUUAUUAUAUAUUUGGAUCUGGGUCAGGCAAGGAGUAAUUAUAUUUCGCUGGUUAUGUGAUUUGGUUUUUCAUGUCAAGUCUUUCUGAUCACUUUAUUUUGUUUUCUUGUGUUUUAGACGAGUAUUCUUCUUUCUUUACUGGGAACUUUCUUCAGGGAUGUUCGCCAUAAAGGUUUUUAAUGAGGCUCGGCCCUUAGUAUUUUCUCAAACUGCAUUCUCAGUGUGAUCCUCUUUCUACUAUUUUCUCUAGAAGAAAAUGUACUAUUUGUUAGUCAUGUUUUUGUGUAUAAGAAAUGCAUAGAAUCCAGAUAAUUUAAAGUAUUGUUGUUUUCGUGUUCUGCUUGGAAUUGGUCUCAACUGUUCAACUCAAUCUGUCAAUUUUCAAAUUCAGUUACAUGCUUAGCUAUGCAAGUUGGAGCUAGGCUCGUUAAUGAACCAAACUCAAGCUUCAUUACAAAUGUCAAAUUUAAAGUUAAACGAGCCGAGCUCAAACCCAACUCGACCCAUUUAUAACCCUAGCAGACAAAAAAGAGAGACUGCGUGGUGGACAGAGAUAUAGUAUAUAUUAUCAACCUAAAUCAAUAGCGCUUAAAUUCCAGCGAAGCAGUAUCAAGGCAAAUGAAAAUGCAGAAUUCCUAGCAUAUGCACAUUAACUUCAGAAACAUAGAAGCCUUAAUCAAAACAAGAAACAAAACACCAAAGGACCCUGUAGUUCUUCCGCAGAAACGAGUACCGGAAAUCCACCACCAGUUUCUUCAAAAAUGAAGACGACCGCCUCGCCUUCACGUACGAGUGCCCCAUUAUGUACGCCACUCUGGCCUCUUUUGCCUCAAUCAGGUCCAUAUAGAGUUUAGGAAAAUACAUGCACAGUCUAACAUUUGACAAUAUUAAACGCUUAAAAUUGUCACAUAUCGUUUAUCCAUAUUUGAACAGUUAUUGUCACAAAAAUUGGCACUAAAAGAUCUUAAUGUAGCAAUUCAGAGGUCCACAAUUAACUAAGCUUGUCUUAAUCGUCGUUUAAGCCAAAGUCUUAACAACUUUUAUUUACAAAAUACAAAGAGCUAGCUGAAUAAUUCUUAUUUUCACAUGCAACUACUCCCCUAAAUGGUCAUGAGCACAAAUAAUAUUUAAUCAAAAGACAGACUGCAAAGCAUCUUUUGCUAUAACUUUUCUGCUCCAUAUAUACUUCAAUUGAAAGCUCAAACGAACUGCAUACUCCCUCUGUCCCAGUCUAAUAAGCUCAUUUUUUUUAGGCAAAGUGAUUAAGAAACUUACUUUUUAGGAGAAAAAUUAUGCGGCCCACAUCAAUUAAGUGUAUUUUUUUACUCAAAAUGAAAAAUGAGCAUAUUCUAAUGGGACGUCUCAAAAAAGAAAACGAGCCUAUUAGAGUGAGACGAAGGAAGUAAUUAAUAAAAAGACAAGUACUGUCUUCUGAAACGCGUAUACAAUGUCACAAUCUAUCAUAUAUUUGUUUCAAAGUCGAUUGAAGCAAAUAAAGAUUGAUUCCUUAAUUUGAACUUUAAUUACUCUUCAACAACUAAUAAUAGGUAUAUAUGAACACAAGAAUAAUAGUGUAUUAAAAUAAUUAAAUAAUCUAUCAUAAUUGAGUGGGAAUAAUAUAUUCAACACAAGCUUGUAAAUAAGAGAUUAACUAAAGUUCUUGUGUGUAGUGAUACACACCGAUCAAAAUACUAGAAAGAUAUGGAAUAGUUGCAAACUUCAUGAUGUAGUAAGAGAACUAUGUUUGAAAUUGGGGAAAAGGGAGGAUUUUGGUUUGCAGAGUUUGGAUUAUCCAAAUGGGAAACUUAAUUAGUAUCUUACAACGGGAAGCUUCUUCGCAUAUGAAAAUACUCCCUCCGUCCGCCAAAAGUAUUCCACUUUGGCCGGGCACGGAGUUUAAUAAAAUGUGUGAUGAUGUUGAUGUAGUGGAGAAAGGGUCCCACCACUUUAUGAGAUGUGUGGUUGAGAUUGAAUUUGGGGUGGGUUUUUUGUAAAUAAAGAGUGUUUGUAAGGAUAAAAUAUAAAGGUGGAUGGUGGGACCAUGGCUUAAAAAGAAAAGUGGAAUACUUUUUGCGGACGCCAAAUAUAGUAAUUGUGGAAUACUUUUGGCGGACGAAGGGAGUACGAUAUUUGGGUAUCCAUUUCAGAGAAGAAGUCCAAUUGGAACUUGACAAGCAAACAAUCACUUGUGGAGAAGAUAGCAAACAUUUAAGGUCUCUUCAAAUGGUCAAUAACAUAAAUUUGAAUGUUGUUGUUCAGUUUCCCUCCCAGAAUAUCGUUGAUUUUCAGAAAUUCAAAUUGCUGAGAGAUCUAAUUCUUGUGGGAUUUGAAUUUGCGGGAAGAAAGUUACCAAAAGGAAUCACUAAUCUUGUUCACCUGAGACGUUUGCAUUUACAAAGAUGUGAAUUUGAUAACUUACCGUCGUCCAUAAGGAAUUUGGCAUACAUGGAUACCCUUGAUUUAUGUUUUUCGACAAAUGUUAGAGUUCCAAGUGUUUUUAAGGAGAUGGUACGUUUAAAACACUUGCAUCUUCCCAACUACGAUGAAAACAUUGGAAAUUAUCGAUUAACACUAGAUGAAGGGGUAGAUAAGCUUGAGAGUCUAAUUGGAUUGGAUAGUAGAGUGCAUGAAUUAAAAUGUAUAGACAGAAUGAAGAAUCUCCGACGUUUCACUAUAAUAGUCCGUGACAAUGAAAGCUUGUCAACCACCAUCGACACCAUUGCUAUCAUGGACAAGUUAGUGGCUUCUGUGAUUAUGAUCGAAGAGGGUUGCGAGUUGGAAACAGAUAAGGGAUUGUUGGAGAAGGCAUUCACAUGUCACAAUCUUCACCACAUGACGAUUAAAGUUAAGUUAAGGAAUGUGCUGGCAGAGUGCACGCGUGACUUCAUCAGCUCAAAACUUGCCACUUUGUUCUUGUGGCAUUGCGAGAUUGAGGAUGAUCCAAUGAUGAUACUGGGGAAGCUUCCUUUCUUGAGAGACUUGCGGUUAUGGACGGGAUCAUUUGUCGGGGAGGAGAUGACGUGUGCAUCAAAAAGUUUUCCUCGCCUCAAGAGGCUUGAGCUAUGGGAGUUACCAAAGUUAAGGGAAUGGAGAGUGGAGGCAGGAGCCAUGCCCCUUCUCUCUACAUUGGAGAUCCAUUUUUGUAAUAGUUUGGAGAUGAUUCCAAAUGAACUGAGUGGCAUUUCUACACUUCAGAAACUGGAGAUCAAUGGAAUGCCGAAAAUGGGGAAGAGGGUAUCGGCAUCAGGAGAGGAUUUCCACAAAGUCAGCCAUAUCCCUUCAAUUAUCAUCAAAGACAUUCUCUAGUCUAGUCUCCACACACUCAGGUUAGGUAUCUCAUUUCUCAUUUUCAAUUUUAGCUUUUAAUACUCCCUCCGUCCAAGAAAGAACUUCUUAGGAGGGGUGACACAAGUUUUAUUUAAGAAAAAAAAAUUAUAAUUAGUAUUGAGAGCGAUGAAAAGUGAAAAGUAAGUGGUGGGGUAUAGUUCAAAAAUAGAUAGAAAGUUCUUUUGUAGACGUCUCAAAAAGGAGAAGUAGAAAGUUCUUUCGUGGUCGAAGAGAGUAUAAAAAUGUUCUUUUCACCAUAUAUAACACUUGUAAUGACUAAACUGGAAGAAAACAUUCUUUCCAAUUGGGGUUUCAAUAAAUUGCAAUGUUUUGGGAUAGUAAACCAUGUAGCAAUUUCAUCUGGCCAAUUAAAGUAUUUGUGUUCGUUCUUAUAAAUUUUUCAUUUGUUCAUGUCAAACUCUUAUGAUUAUUUUAUCCUGUUAAAAUAGGCAUAACUACUUGCGACGAUGCCAUAGAACCAAAACAAAUGUUUAUGAUCUUCCUUUUACUGUUUCAUAUUGCAGGCAAGUUGGAGCUAGGCUAUUGUUAUAUUUGGAUUUGGGUCAGGCAAGGAGUUAUUAUAUUUUGUUGGUUAUGUGAUUUGGUUUUUCUUGUCCAGUUUUUCUGUCUUUAUUUUGUUUUCUGUAUUUUAGACGAGUACUCUUUUUCCUUGACUGGUAACUUUUUUAAGGGAUGUUCGCCAUAAAGGUUUUUAAUAAGGCUCGAGCCUUACUCUUAAAGAAUAUAUGCAUUCUCUCAUACUCUAAUACUGUCAUUAUGUUUUUAUGCAUGUUCAUUCCUAACAAAUUUCAUACUCAGAUGAGAGAACUCGUUUGUAUUAUUGUUAAUUUACAGGUUGAGCAUUGAUUUUAUGGUAUAGUUAUUGACUAUUGCUACCACUUUGGUGCUCAUGCAUAGAGAUUAACAUUUACCUCAAAGGGUGCAUACUCCUCAGUAACGUUGUAAUGAAGCCAACUCAUUAUAAGUUUUUAUUGUAUUUCAAGUGUUCUUCAACUCAAUCUGUAAAUUUUGAGUUCAAAUUCAGUUACAUGCUUAGCUAAGCAAGUUGGAGCUAGGCUCUUAACGAACCAAACUCAAGCUUCACUACAAAUGUCAAAUGGGCUACGUCGUAAUCUAAAGUUAAACGAGCCGAGCUCAAACCCAACUCGACCCGUUUACAACGCUAGCAAGACAAAAGAAGAGAGACUGCGUGGUGGACAGAGAGAUAUAGUAUAUAUUCUCAACCUAAAUCAAUAGCAUUGAAAUUCCAGCUAAGUAGCAAGGCAUAUGAAAAUGCAGAAUUCCUAAGAGACACCAUGAUGUUUGAACUAGAUAACCUCGUAUCUCCAGAAAGAGACACCUAAUAUGGUGCAUGCUUAUCUUCUUGUCGUGAAGCCUGAAGGUGGGCAUCAAGAAAGUGUUUGCUGAGACAGUAGAUCUUGGAAAAGCAGACAAGAUAAAGGAGUUGAAGGAUGGUUAAUUCAACACAAUUUUUGUAAACUUCUAACAGGAAAGGAAACUGUCUUCUUGUACAAUAAUUUAUUCAUAUCAUAGACUAGAUUAUCUGUAUUAAUAACAUUAAUGAACCUUUAUUGGCUUAAAUCCCCUUUAUUGACUACCUUAUCAUUUUUUAAACCAUGUUAUUCAAUUUUCGUCGUCAGAGUGGUUGAGAAAUGUAUUUUUAAUGCAUAUUCCCUUUGAAUGAGUGGAAUAAUGAGCGAGAAUUAUCGAAUGAAGAGGAAAGAAGAAUAGGUGAUCCUGAUCCCUACUAAACAAAACAAACUGCAAUUAACAAAUAAAGAUUAAUGUGCUUUCUCAUAAGCUAAACUACUUUCACACGCGCUUUUCCCACGAACAAAAAUCAAACCUCCCAAGAUCCCUCUUUGUUUUUAGAGAACUCUCCAAGACCUAAUUUCUCUGUUCCAGAUUUCAAAUUCUUCGCGUAUUCAAGCUCCUUAUUCCUAUUCUUCUAUAUAUACACUCACCAGUAAAUCAAGUAGAUCCAAGAAAUUUAAGUUUGGAAUUUUUGCAAUGGCAGAAGCAGUGGUGUCCAUGGCUCUAGAAACCUUGCGCGAUUUGUUGUUGGAAGAAGCAAGGUUUUUAUAUGGUGUGGGUGACCAAGUGAGGGAGUUCGAGAUCCAGCUCAGAGAGAUGAAAUGUUUCCUUGAAGAUGCUGACAGAAGGCGACAUGAAAACAAAACCAUUUUCAAUUGGAUCUUGGAGAUUAGAGAUCUUGCGUACAGAGGGGAAGCUGCCAUUGAAAGACACGCAGCUUCUCAAGUGUCUUCAAGGAGAAGACGAGGCAUCCGACAGCUCGUUCGCAGAUGUUCUUGUAUUUUGGAAGAAUACAACUCGCUCCACCUACUAGGCUCCGAGAUUUCACCAAUUAAAUCCCAUCUUGAAAGGAUAAACAAGGAAAUGUUAGAUAGCGGCAUAAAGAAGAGCAUCAUCAACAAUACAGAUGAAGGGGAAAGCUCGUCCACCAACAACAGAGCAAGGAUGAGCUUCCCCGAAUUCGAGAUUGGAGAGUGUUUUGUGGGGAUGGAGAAAGAGCUGAAGUGGCUUUUUCAUCUCCUCGGGCAAGACAACAAGGAUCGAGUUAUUUCAGUGUGGGGGAUGGGCGGUUCAGGCAAGACCACCAUUGCCAAAAAGCUCUACAAUGAGACCAAGACCAGCUUUGAUCUGUGCGCAUGGGUUUGCAUCACUCAGCAAUGUCAGAGUUUUCAAUCAGUUUGGGAGGAUGUUCUCAGGCAGCUAAGCAUCAAAGCAGCAAGGGUGUAAGCGAUGAGCCACAACAAAUAAGGGAUGGCGUUGUUCCAAAUCUGAGCGAGUGGGAGUUGAAGGAGCGACUAUGCAAGAUACAAAGAGACAAGCGUUGCCUCAUUGUUAUUGAUGAUCUUUGGAAAGUUGCUGAUUGGAAUCAGUUGAAGCAUCCCUUCCUUGUCCAGAAUUUGCAAAGCAAAAUCUUGAUCACCACACGCGAAACAGAAGUUGCAAAGAUUGGUUGCGCAGUAAAAGUUGGGCUUCUAAAAGAGGAAGAUGCUUUGGAACUACUCAAGAAGAAAGCCUUUCCACAUACCAACAUUCCAGGUUAGUUGUGUCUAUGUAUAAUAUGGUGCUUUAGUUCUAUCUACAAAUUAAUAUUNCAGCCAUCCCUCUUCUCCGCCUCCGGCCGUGGCCGAGCAACAGCAGCCAUGGCCGCCGAGCUCUGCCUCCCUCCGCUGACUCCGGCUGCCACGACCAGUAGCUGGUCGCCGCCCCUUCUCACCCUCUCUCUCUCCGUCCUCGGCCCGACAGCAGCGAGCAGAGCCGCUGUGCUGCGGCCUCCCUUGUUCAACCUUGGCCGACGGCAGCGAGGACCACCGCCUCCACGACACACCACUCUCUCAUUCCCUUUCCAGACUCAGUCCGGCGAACAGCAAUGAAGCCGCCGCCGACCCCCAGACCAGCCUUCAACAAGACUCAUCCCGUCUCUCCCUUCUCUCGGCUGAACUGACAGCAGCCGCUCAUCUCUCUCCACCCCCCUCUCUCUCCGGCCGACAGCAGUAGAUGGAGCAAACUGCCGCCGCCGACAUCAAAACAAAGUUUUAAGACAUCUUAUUCAAUUAUUCAUGCUUUCAUAUGCAUAUGCACAGAUUGUAUCUAUAUAUAUAUAAUUAUGCGAAUACAUAUGUAUGCUCAUGAUGUAGCUCUACUGUCAUUUUAAUAAAGAUGGCAAAGAAUACAAUUUAUAGAGUAGAGUUUGGAAAUGAAACCUUUUUAAGGAUUCUGCUAGAUCAGUUUCUGUAUAUGCUUAAUUGUUGAAAUUGUUGAGCUUUGGAUAUGGAGAACUUAGCUGCAGGAUUUGUAGGGGAAGGAUGCUUUACAAUGGUGAUGUUAAGUGUUGGGUGAAAGAUGGAGUAGGUGGUGGAUGGGACUGCAUUGGCUGAUUUUGGUGGGGGCAAUGUAUCGUGUGAGUGGGGAGAAUGGAAAAUGUGAGUGGGAGUGAAAAGUGUGAGUGGGGAGAGUGGAAAUAAAAUAAAAAUAUAAUAAAAAGUCUUCCGGUUUGUACCAUGAAAACUGUAAUAAUCGCUCAGUAUUCGCUAAAUAAAUAUCUCGUGAAAAAUACUUGAAUGCUAAAUUAAAUAAAUAUGCAAUGCAUAUAAAUUUAAUAACUAAAUUUACAAAUAUUUUUGUAAAUCAUUUUGUUGGAAUUAAAAAUAAAUUCAUUUUCUUUAUCCGGCNNNNNNNNNNNNNNNNNNNNNNNNNNNNNNNNNNNNNNNNNNNNNNNNNNNNNNNNAAUCGUUCUUUCUGACUGCCUGUCAGUCUGCUCUAGCUGUAGAAACACGAGCAGCAGGGGGGCAAAGCUUCGGCUCAGUCCAGUUUCCUUCUCUAAGCGCACAGCAACGUGCACCACAACUAACUCCGGUAGCUCUACGCACCCACGACACCCUUGACCCUCUCCGGCGGCUCCUCACAAUAGCUGCGUCGGGAAGACACGAAACAGGGGGAGAACAAGCAAGACACGAAGCUUCUUGUUCGAUCCAUGUGAGGAGGUGAAUGGAGAGAUAGAGAACACGGGUCGCUCGAUCACACAAGAACAGCGACAACAAUCGUCUUCUCUCUCACACUCAACUGCGCCUCUCCUUUAUCUCACUAAGAGAAAGUAGCUUCUCCCAAUUUCAAACUCAAGAUGCCUCUUCUCUGCACACUUUCCCUCACUUAGCAAUUAGGGCAAAGAGGCUUAAGUAGGUUAGGAUAUGGGUAUGCCAGGAUGGGCUUUGGUGUGUGGGUUUGGGCUUCCAAGGAAUUGGGCCAAAUAAGACUCAUAUAUUUAUACAUAUAUUCUAACUAUUUACUAAAAGCUGUGUGCCCACACCUUUGGUGUAACGACAAAUUAUUUAAUGCUAUGUAUUGAUAUGUAUUGAUGACUAUUGGCGAAGGCAGCAGCUCUACAAUUACGACCACAGCUUCCUUAUCUUUUCUAAGUAACUUCCAUCUCACCACUACCAAUUCAAGAGUGCUCAACCAAUCAAUUUGACCAAAUAUAUCUGAGCUUCCCCAAAUCAGAAAAUCAAGAGUGUUCCACCAAUCAAUUAGACCAAAUGGCAGAAGCAGUGGUGUCGAUGGCUCUAGAAACCUUGCGCAAUUUGUUGUUGGAAGAAGCAAGGUUUUUAUAUGGUGUGAGCGAUGAAGUGAAGGAGCUCGAGAUCCAGCUCAAAGAGAUGAAGUGUCUGCUUAAAGAUGCCGAUAGAAGACGACAUGAAAGCGAAACCAUUUUGAAUUGGAUCUCGGAGAUCAAAGAUCUUGUGUACAGAGCGGAAGCUGCCAUUGAAAGACACGCAGCUUAUCAAGUGACUUCAAGGAGAAGACGAGGCCUCAGACAGCUCGUUCGCAGAUGUUCUUGUAGUUUGGAAGAAUACAACUCGAUCCACCUACUAGGCUCCGAGAUUUCACCGAUCAAAUCCCAUCUUGAAAGGAUAAACAAGGAAAUGUUAGAUAGUGGCAUAAAGAAGAGCAUCAUCAACAAUACAGAUGAAGGGGAAAGCUCGUCCACCAACAACAGAGCAAGGAUGAGCUUCCCCGAAUUCGAGAUUGGAGAGUGUUUUGUGGGGAUGGAGAAAGAGCUGAAGUGGCUUUUUCAUCUCCUCGGGCAAGACAACAAGGAUCGAGUUAUUUCAGUGUGGGGGAUGGGCGGUUCAGGCAAGACCACCAUUGCCAAAAAGCUCUACAAUGAGACCAAGACCAGCUUUGAUCUGUGCGCAUGGGUUUGCAUCACUCAGCAAUGUCAGAGUUUUCAAUCAGUUUGGGAGGAUGUUCUCAGGCAGCUAAGCAUCAAAGCAGCAAGGGUGUAAGCGAUGAGCCACAACAAAUAAGGGAUGGCGUUGUUCCAAAUCUGAGCGAGUGGGAGUUGAAGGAGCGACUAUGCAAGAUACAAAGAGACAAGCGUUGCCUCAUUGUUAUUGAUGAUCUUUGGAAAGUUGCUGAUUGGAAUCAGUUGAAGCAUCCCUUCCUUGUCCAGAAUUUGCAAAGCAAAAUCUUGAUCACCACACGCGAAACAGAAGUUGCAAAGAUUGGUUGCGCAGUAAAAGUUGGGCUUCUAAAAGAGGAAGAUGCUUUGGAACUACUCAAGAAGAAAGCCUUUCCACAUACCAACAUUCCAGGUUAGUUGUGUCUAUGUAUAAUAUGGUGCUUUAGUUUCUAUCUACAAAUUAAUAUUCUAAAAUAUUUACGUGCUGGUACUUUCUUUACUUGCAUCAUCGAUUCCAAAUUAGAUGAAAGGGUAAAUAAUUAAGUUAUAAAGUUGUAGUACUAUUCAAUUAAUUGUCAUUUGUUAUUUCAAUACAGAUUUUGCAUCUGAAGAAACUUUUGAGAAAAUUGGGAAAGAAAUGGUGAAGAAAUGUGGGAAUUUGCCGUUGGCAAUUUCUUUACUGGGUGGGGUCUUGAGAAUGAAAAAUUCGAUGAAGGAGUGGGAGUUAGUAAAUGAGGAUAUCAAAGAAUUCAUAUAUAGAGAUGAAAAGGAGAUUGAUGGAGUGCUAAAUUUAAGCUAUGAAAGCCUACCCUAUUAUUUGAAGCCUUGCUUUCUCUAUAUGGGUUUAUUUCAAGAGGACGAAGUUAUAGAUGUUAAGGAUCUAUAUCGUAUGUGGAUAGCCCAAGGCAUGAUUUCAUAUGAGAAUAUUGGAGACAAGAAGGAAACUUUAACAGACAUCGCCAAGCUCUACUUACGUGAGUUGGUCUCGAGGUCCAUUGUCCAAGUUGAAAUUAAAGAGAAUUAUGAUGUCGCAUGCAAACUUCAUGAUGUUAUACGUGAGCUAUGUUUGAAAUUGGGGAAGAGAGAGGAUUUUGGUGUGCAGAGUUUGGAGUAUCAAGGUGGGAAACUUAGUAUCUUGCUACAGGAUGCUUCCUCGCGUAUGAAAAUACGACAUUUGGCUAUCCAUUUCAAAAGAGAAGUCCAAGUGGAACCUGACGAGCUUACAAUCACUUGUGGAGAAUAUAGUAGCCAACAUUUAAGGUCUCUUCAAAUGUUCAAUCACAUAAACUUGAGUGUUGCUAUUGAGUUUCCCCCACAAAGUAUCAUUGAUUUUCAGAAAUUCAAAUUGCUUAGAGAUCUUGUUAUCGUGGGAUUCAAAUUUGCUGGAAGAAAGUUACCAAGAGGAAUCACAAAUCUUGUUCACCUUAGAUUUUGGCGUUUACAAGCAUGUGAAGUUGAUAAGCUGCCGUCGUCCAUAAGAAAUUUGGUGUACUUAAACACCCUUGAUUUAAGGCAAUCAAAGAAUGUUGGAGUUCCAAAUGUUUUCAAGGAGAUGUUGCGACUAAAACACUUGUUUUUUCCUCAUUAUGACCAGGCAAAUAUUGGAAAUUUUAGAGUAAGAUUGGAUGAGGGAGUAGAUGAGUUGGAAACUCUGAUAGGGUUCAAUAGUAUAAUGCAUGAAUUUACAUGUAUGGGCAGAAUGAAGAAUCUUCGAUCUUUUUCAGCAUUCAUACAUGACAACGAAGCCUUGUCAGCUAUCACAAAUGCCAUUGCUACCAACUGGAAGAAGUUAGUGUACAGUGGGGUUACUCUCGUAGAGGGUUGUGAGUUAACAACAAGUGAGCAAGUUGUGAAGAAGACAUUGACAUGUCCCAAUCUUCAUUACUUGGGGAUUCUUAUUAAGUUAGGGAAUGUGCUAUCUAAGUGUGGGAGUGACUUCAUGAGUUCAACACUUGCUAGAGUGUACCUGUUUAAAUGCGAGAUUGAGGAUGAUCCAAUGGGGAUACUGGGAAAGCUUCCUUGCUUGGUAGAAUUGGAAAUGCACUGGGAAUCAUUUGUUGGGGAGCAGAUGACAUGUCCAUCAAAUAGUUUUCCUCUCCUCAAGAUGCUUUAUCUAUCAUAUUUACCAAAGUUGAGGGAGUGGAGAGUGGAGUCAGGAUCCAUGCCCAUUCUCUCUCUAUUACAGAUAAAUAGUUGUUCUUGUCUGGAGAUGCUUCCAGAUGGAUUGAGUGGCAUUUCUACUCUUGAGAAACUGACAAUCAUUAAAAUGCCGGAGUUGGGAAAAAGGGUUUUGCCAUCAGGACAGGAUUAUCACAAAGUGCGCCAUGUCUCUUCAAUCAUCAUCCGAGACUAAUCUCCACCCAACUAAGGUAAUGCUCAUUUCUCACAUUUUCAACUUUAGUUUUUAAUAAUAAGUAUAUAUCACCAAAUUUCUUGCCAUGUCCCUUCACCAUAUUUUAAACUACUUGCCACCGUAAGUAACUAUCUUAUCUCAUUAAUAUACGGUAACUCAAUUCUAAAUUGAAUAACCAAACUAAUAAUUAAAUCCCAAGGUGUAUAAGUAUUAGGAUUGUAAUAGUACCAAAACAUUCCACGACGUUGAUUAACUAGAAAAAGUUGUAACUCAAUUUUAGGCUUUUCUCUUUUUCUUCUUAAUAAAAACUUAAUUUGAAGAAUAUAUGCAUUCUCAAAGUCUAAUCCCGUAAUUAUGUUUUUAUUUUCACUCCCUAACAAAUUGUACUCCUAUAAGGGCGUAUACUUUACACGAUUGAUAAGAUAGAUGAUUGAGUAUGAUUUCUUUAAUCUCAUCCUUUUGAUGGAUAAGAACCAAAUAAAAAUUAGAUCAAAUGAUAGAAACAAGGGCCUUGAGAUAUCCCAAAGUUUCAAUCGAUCAAAAAAAUAAGGGAUUAACUUUAAUAUUUUUAUCUAUCAAGGCUAAUCAUUAAAGUAAAUGCUUUCUAAGAUAACUUUUUUUGUAUUAUUGUUGAUGUACAGGUUGAGCUUUGGUUAUCUGGAGGGUUACUGUUUAUCACUCCCAGUUUUGGUGCUCAAGGAAAUUAGACAUUUUUUCUUUUUCUUUGGAGGGUAUACGUUCCUCAGUAAAGUUUUAAAGCUCAACUCAUUCUAAGUUUGUAUCACCUUUUUAUUUUAAUUAUAUUUUCUUUUCCCUACAGAAAAAGGCUCGAUCUGCAGUGUUGUUACAUUUCUCAAGUGGUUUCGCUUUGAACUCUUUUCUUUGGAAGAAAAUAUACUAUUCCUUGGGUAUGUUUUUAUGCGUAAGAAAUUGUAUAGAAUCCAGAUCUUUUAAAGUUGUGCAAGUUAAUGUGACAUACUGUAUUCGAAUUUGAGUUCUGUCUGAUUUGAAUGGAUGGUUUGUAAUGAUUCAAAUGUUCAAAUCAAUCUGUUUAUUUUGAGCUCAAAUUUAGUUACAUGCUUCGCUAACCAAGUUUGAGCUAGGCUUUGUUAACGAACCAUGCUGAAGCUUCAUUGCAAAUGUCACGUGGGCUCUGAAUCAAAAGUUAAACGAGCCUAGCUCAAACCCAACUCAACCCACAAAGAUGAGAGACUGCAGCGUGGACAGAGAUAUAUAUAUUAUCAACCUAAAUCAAUAGCACUGAAAUUCCAGCUAAGCAGUAGCAAGGCAUAUGAAAAUGCAGAAUUCCUAGCAUAUACACAUCAACUUCAGAAAAAUAGAAGCCUUAAUCAAAACAAGCAAAUAAACACCAGAUUUUCAGACAUGAUAUAUCAUGCCUACUUCGAUCAAGCUGAUGUGAGGAAUGUGCAGCGCCACCGAAGGACCCCUGCAGUUCUUCCGCAGAAACGAGUACCCGAAAUCCACCACCAGUUUCUUCAAGAACGACGACGACCGCCUCGCCUUCACGUACGAGUGCCCCAUUAUGUACGCCACACCGGCCUCCUUCGCCUCGAUCAAAUCCGUAAGCUCCUCCCUCACCGCCGGAUCCAUUGCCGGGCUCUGAGGCAGCUGAAACCGCACACGCCGCCUCCUGAUCUGCGGAUUCUCCUCGUCGUAAGCCGACCUUAAGCUCUGCAGAGUUAAAGAUUUGCUGCUCUGAAUGGAACUGAUGGUGUCAAAGUCAUCCUCAUUGGAUACAAUCAGAUUGGAGGAAGAACAUGCUUGGGAGCUUAUGACGGCCAUCCUCCCGUCGUAUGACACGGAAUCGGGCGUUGCGAACUGAGGCUCAACAGCUUCCAUUUGGAUGAACUCAGCUAUGCUCUGGAUGAGGAGGUUCUCAAAGUUGCCAUCGUCGCCCUGCAAGUCCUUGUAUCCGUACCUGACGAUGCAACGGUACAUCCGGUACGGUCUCGGGCAGAUACGGCCGAUGAGGAAGCGCUCC
RNAcentral lists this long non-coding RNA (41143 nucleotides) under Salvia miltiorrhiza (redroot sage). RNAcentral describes it as "long non-coding RNA (SMIL_LNC000003)". Lineage: Eukaryota; Viridiplantae; Streptophyta; Magnoliopsida; Lamiales; Lamiaceae. The record is from RNAcentral.